Molecule: ribosomal RNA, 447 nt
Filed under: uncultured Cellulomonas sp.
Lineage: Bacteria; Bacillati; Actinomycetota; Actinomycetes; Micrococcales; Cellulomonadaceae
Description: bacterial SSU rRNA
Rfam family: Bacterial small subunit ribosomal RNA
Source: RNAcentral
UUCCUACGGGCGGCUGCAGUGGGGAAUAUUGCACAAUGGGCGCAAGCCUGAUGCAGCGACGCCGCGUGGAGGAUGACGGCCUUCGGGUUGUAAACUCCUUUCAGCAGGGAAGAAGCGCAAGUGACGGUACCUGCAGAAGAAGCGCCGGCUAACUACGUGCCAGCAGCCGCGGUAAUACGUAGGGCGCAAGCGUUGUCCGGAAUUAUUGGGCGUAAAGAGCUCGUAGGCGGUGUGUCGCGUCUGCUGUGAAAACUCGAGGCUCAACCUUGGGCUUGCAGUGGGUACGGGCACACUAGAGUGCGGUAGGGGUGACUGGAAUUCCUGGUGUAGCGGUGGAAUGCGCAGAUAUCAGGAGGAACACCGAUGGCGAAGGCAGGUCACUGGGCCGCAACUGACGCUGAGGAGCGAAAGCAUGGGGAGCGAACAGGAUUAGAUACCCGGGUAGUC